This 3830-nucleotide long non-coding RNA is filed under the name Sus scrofa (pig). RNAcentral's name for it is "lncRNA (ENSSSCG00015052628.1)". Lineage: Eukaryota; Metazoa; Chordata; Mammalia; Artiodactyla; Suidae. The record is from RNAcentral.
AGAGAAAUAAAAGACCAGGCAGUCUCUAAGAUUUUUCCAAGCAUGUUCUGUCCAUGUAUCAUCUAUUGAUCUUUUCUUUCUUUAAAAUUUAUCUGAUAAUGUGAGAAAAAAGAAUGUAUAAAUGUAUGCGUAACUGGCUCACCAUGCUGUACAGUAGAAAAUUGACAGAACACUGUAAACCAGCUAUAAUGGAAAAAUAUAAAAAUCAUUUUAUAUAUAUAUAUAUAUAAAGUUUAUUGAAGCAUAGUUGAUUUACAGUGUUGUGAUAAUUUCUGCUGAGUGAUUCAGUUAUAGAUACAUCCAUUCUUUUUCAGAUUCUUUCCCAUGUAGAUUAUCACAGAAUAUUGGGUAGAGGCUCCUGUGCUAUACAGCAUGUCUCUGAUCUUUUAUCUCAAUGGAAAGAAUUCUGUAGUAGCCUGGGAGAGUCAGUGAAAGUGGGACUGUAACUUCUCAAUGGAUAUGCCGACAAGAAGGGGAGACCAAGCAGUUGUGUCUUGCUAAGAUAAGCCUUCUCCAGUGGUCAGUUUUGAUCCUAGCCAUGGCAAACCAUCACUGCCAUCAUAGACACGGUGCAAAUGAAUUGAAACUCGUGAAGUUGUGCUCCACUAAGAAGAAACAGAGUAUAGAACCUUCCCUUUCAUUCUAGGUAACUAAUGAAUCCACUGUGCUCACUCAUCUAAGUACUUAGCAGGGUAUACGACCCUAGAUGCAGAGAGAAUGUUGUGCACAGUAUCUUCCCCAUUGGGAGUCUUAUUUUUUCUGACACAAACAGAAAUUUAUCCAUAGGGUCCUAUACUACUUUGUUUAUACCUUUCUUACUGAAGUAUAACAAACAUGUUGAAAAGUACACUAAUCCUCAAUGCAUACUCCCCUGAAUUUCCAUGAACUGUGCACAUCCAUGCAGUCAGCACUUUGAUAAAACAUAGGGUACUGCCAGCACCCCAAAGCUCUCAGUUCCCCUCACAGUCUCUGACCCCCACCAAAUAUCCUGGUUUCUAACAUCAGAUUUUAGUUUUGUCUGUUUGGGAAGUGUUAUAUAAACAGAAUCAUACAGUGUGUGUUCUCUGCUUCUGCCAUCUUUCCCUCAUUAUUAUAUUUGGCUUUUUUUUUUAAUUAUUAAAGUAUAGUUAGUUUACAGUAUUGUGUCAGUUUCCACUGUACAGCAAAGUAACCCAGCCAUGCACACAUACACCCACACACUUUCUUUUUGUCACAUUAUUUUCCACCGUGGUCUACAGGAGAUUAGAUAUAGUUCCCUGUGCCAUACAGCAGGACCUUGUUGCUUAUCCUUUCUAAAUGCAUCUACUAUCCCAAACUCCCAUCCAUCCCAGUCCCUCCCUCCUCCCUCUUGGCAACAACAAAUCUGUUUUCUAUGUCUGUGGGUCUCUUUCUGUUCUGUUCGUUUGUGCCACAUUUUAGGUGUGUGAAAUUCAUUCAUGCUGUUGCCUAUAGCAGUAGUUUGUUGAGAGCAUAUAUACAGGUUUCUCUUAGGGGUAUGCCUUGAAAUGGAAUUGAUAGGCCAUAGGGUUCAGCCUUAGUAGCUACUGACCCCAAACCAGUCUUCCAAAGACAAGUGUUAGCAGAUCUUUGGAGCAACUAGGAAUUUCACAUGCUGCUGCUAGGAGGUAAACUAGUUGUCCCAUGCAUGUGCUAACACCUGUCUUUUCAUUUUAGCUACUCAAGUGACUGUGCAAGGGUGUUGCAUUGGGAUGUUAACCUAUCUUUCUCUGAUGAGUAAGGAAGUGGAGCUCUUUUUGAUACCUGUAUUGGUCUUCCAGAAUCCUCUUUUUUGAAGUAUCUAACUGUAUCUUUUACUCAUUCCUCCUCCAUUGGGUUAGCUCUAUUUUCCUACUUUUGGGGAAUUUUCCAUGUACUCUUGUUAGAAAAAUACACUGCAAGUAUCAUUUCUCACUUUGUCUCUUGCCUUUUAAUGACACAUUUAAUGGUGUCUUUUGAGGAACAGUUUUCUUAAUUUUAAUGUAAUCUGAUUUAAUAUUUUUUCUUUAUAGUGAGUACUGUUAUAUCCAACAUAAAAAUUAUUUUACUAGCCCAAGAUUGUGUUACAUUCGUUCAUGUUUAGUUUUUAGUUUGUCCAGGAUUGAUUUUUAUCUAUCAUGUAAGAUAAGGGUCAGAUUUAUUUUUUUCCUCAUGUAUAUCCAAUUGACCUAUUAAUUGAAAAGACUAUUCUUUAUACUAAAGUUUCAUCUUUGUCACAGAUAGUUCUGUUCCUAUACCCUUAUUUCAGUCCAUUGACAGCCCAGUCUAUUUGUAUGUGUCUGUGCCAGUGUAUUAAUAACUGUAGCUUUAUUAUAAACAAUGAUACCUAUCACAGAUUGCUCUUGGAAUAUAGUGAAACAGUUAAAAUGCUUAGCAUAAGACCUGGCAGGUUGGGCUUUUGGCUCAGUUAAUGUAAGCUAUUAGAUAUAAGAGCCAAAGGUCAUUUGACAUCUUAUAGUCCUAGGCCCCCUUGCCCUCCUGUCAGCCAUACUAAUUUCUCUAAAACAUUUCUGAUGUUUCACGGUCAGCCAAGAAAUGAAAUGCUCUUAGGUCAUGAAUAUUUUGCAUAUACCCAUUCUGAGAUUAGGUCUACUGAGAGAAAGAAAACAGAAAACCACCUACAGAGUGCUAUAAUGUACUUUUCUUUGUCCUUCACAUUUGUGAAGGAUAGGAUAGGGAAAUUUUUUAAAAUGUAUUUUGUUAAUUUUUUUGGCUGUGUCCAUGACAUGUGAAAUUUCUCAGGUCAGGAAUGGAACCCACACCACAACAGUGACCCAAGCCAUAGCAGUGACAAGGUUGGAUCUCUAACCUGCUGUGCCACCAGGAAACUCCCAGAGCAAAUUGUUUUUAAUGUGACUUCCAUCUCCUUAGGUCUCAGUGAAUCCCUGUCUACUCUGGCCCUAUUUUCUUCAGUACAGGACCAAGACUUUUUGGCUUCUAAUUUCUUCCCUAUUGAAUGACAGGUCUACAAAUUCCCAUCAAGAGAAGAGCCUGAAGGUCCCCUCUGACUCAUUUCUCUAGGUACCUAACUAGUCCUGGUAUCAAAUGCCUUCAUCCUUCAAUUUUACUCACUUGACCAGUAUACAUGUAUAAGAUUAAUGAGUAAAGCAUAUCUGGAGUUUAGCACAUCAGAGUUAAAUUAUUUCUUAAUUGUUACCAAUUUCAGAUUUAUCAUAAGUUCUGGUCUAUAAUGGGUGUGGGGUGUGGAGGGGGACAAUAUAUGUAGCAUGUAUAUAUAUGUAAUAUAUAUGCAAUAUAUAUCCUUAUGUAUAUAACUGCUGAUAAAUUGACUUCUAUCAUUUUGGAAUAAACUGUAAUGAUGUCUUAAAAUAACUCACUUUCCCUGUUCAACCUCAUUCAGUCUGGUCUACUCAUUUUCUGAGCUUUGCUGGGUCUGAUGAGGUAUAGCAAAGAAAAAAAGCCAAACAUCACCACCCUCACUCCUUGCCAAAAUUAAAACAUAAAAAAAUUAAUUGCUUUCUUCCAAAGUUGAUGCCUGUAUUAUACACAUACAUAAGAAGGAAUUAUACAGACUGUGUAGAGAAUGCCUUUAAUGAAAAGAAAAAUAAGCCAAGUUAAAUUUCCUUUAGGAGACCACUCUCUUUGUACAGCAAACACAGGGUCUAUUAUAAGCUUAACUCAUUUUUGCCUUAGUUGUAAAUGAACUUGACUAACUGGGCUUUAGAUACUAUUCAACAUUACUGCAGAAUAACUAAGAUUUGGUUGUGCAAAUUUAGGUAAGGUAGGAGGUGGCAAAUUAACCCUGCUAAUGACUAGCCUGUGCUGAGGCUAAGCAAGUAAUCAGAUGUACACUUAAAAAAAAAAAAAAAAAA